This 29-nucleotide non-coding RNA is filed under the name Bombyx mori (domestic silkworm). The record is from RNAcentral. Lineage: Eukaryota; Metazoa; Arthropoda; Insecta; Lepidoptera; Bombycidae.
UCACUAAGAAACCUACACCGUAUUGGCCC